CACGUAGGGGGCAAGCGUUGUCCGGAUUUAUUGGGCGUAAAGAGCUCGUAGGUGGUUCGGUAAGUCGGGUGUUAAACCCCCAGGCUCAACCUGGGGACGCCACUCGAUACUGCUGUGACUAGAGUCCGGUAGGGGAGCGUGGAAUUCCUGGUGUAGCGGUGAAAUGCGCAGAUAUCAGGAGGAACACCAGCGGCGAAGGCGGCGCUCUGGGCCGGUACUGACGCUGAAGAGCGAAAGCGUGGGGAGCAAACAGG
Molecule: ribosomal RNA, 254 nt
Filed under: uncultured bacterium
Lineage: Bacteria
Description: partial 16S ribosomal RNA
Rfam family: Bacterial small subunit ribosomal RNA
Source: RNAcentral